Molecule: non-coding RNA, 114 nt
Organism: Acanthosepion pharaonis
Lineage: Eukaryota; Metazoa; Mollusca; Cephalopoda; Sepiida; Sepiidae
Source: the annotation of a GenBank genome assembly
UUACGGCGAUAUCACGUCAAAACACCGGUUUGUGUACGAUAACCGAAGUAAAGCAACGUCGAGCCAGGUUAGUACACGGAUGGGUGACCACUUGGGAAUACCAGGCGCUGUAAG